GUGGCUUCCACAUUCUUCAGCAGGCCCCUCAUAAGAUCAUCACAAGCAACACAGAGAAAUGUUGGCCUGCUGAAAAUAGAAGUGCAGAGACUCUCUCCCGUGACAGAAUGAGGCGUGGAGGAUUCGCAGAACUGUUUCCUCAAGGGCCCCAUAGUGAUACCGUCUUUUAUUCCUUUUAGUAGCCUCAUCAGUGCCCUGAAUGCAGUGACUUGUGUCAGGACAGCGUUCUCCAUGCUGGCUGCGGGUGACGGCCUGAGCCCCGGUACAGUAUUCCUGCUGGCCUCAGACCGCCCUCCCAGGCAAAACCUGGGGCCAGCCUGUCUGCAGUCUGAAAUGCCCUCCAGAUUAUCCUAAAUGUGCAUGUUAAUGACCAUCAGAUCUGAGAGCUGGUGGAGAAAUUAAGAUAAAUAGAGAAAAUCCUGACUGUGUUUGCUUUGGACCACA
Molecule: long non-coding RNA, 444 nt
Filed under: Homo sapiens (human)
Lineage: Eukaryota; Metazoa; Chordata; Mammalia; Primates; Hominidae
Description: non-protein coding lnc-IRX4-4:2
Source: RNAcentral